UACGUAGGGUGCGAGCGUUGUCCGGAAUUAUUGGGCGUAAAGAGCUUGUAGGCGGUCUGUCGCGUCUGCUGUGAAAAUCCGGGGCUCAACCCCGGACUUGCAGUGGGUACGGGCAGACUAGAGUGUGGUAGGGGAGACCGGAAUUCCUGGUGUAGCGGUGAAAUGCGCAGAUAUCAGGAGGAACACCGAUGGCGAAGGCAGGUCUCUGGGCCACUACUGACGCUGAGGAGCGAAAGCGUGGGGAGCGAACAGG
Molecule: ribosomal RNA, 253 nt
Filed under: uncultured bacterium
Lineage: Bacteria
Description: partial 16S ribosomal RNA
Rfam family: Bacterial small subunit ribosomal RNA
Source: RNAcentral